This 633-nucleotide ribosomal RNA is filed under the name uncultured archaeon. RNAcentral describes it as "bacterial SSU rRNA". It matches the Rfam family "Archaeal small subunit ribosomal RNA", at positions 34 to 669 of the family's 1478-position model. The record is from RNAcentral.
GGGAGUGGAUUAGCAUGCUAGACAGAGGGCAGUUCGGCUGCCCUGCGAAAAGCUCAGUGACACGUAGUCAAUCUACCCUUAGGAUUGAGAUAACCCGGGAAACUGGGGAUAAUCUCAAAUAUGCGGGGAUUCUGGAAUGUUCCUCGCUGAAAUGUUUUGCGCCUAAGGAUGAGACUGCGGCCUAUUAGGUAGUUGGUGAGGUAAAGGCUCACCAAGCCACAGAUGGGUACGGGCCCUGAGAGGGGGAGCCCGGAGAUGGGGACUGAGACAAGGCCCCAGGCCCUACGGGGCGCAGCAGGUGCGGAAAUUCUGCAAUGCGUGCAAGCGCGACAGAGUGACUCCCAGUGCCGAUGGUCUACCGACCGUCGGCUUUUCUGGAACGUAAAAAGUUUCAGGUAAUAAGGGCCGGGUAAGACUGGUGCCAGCCGCCGCGGUAACACCAGCGGCUCGAGUGGUAACCGAUUUUAUUGGGCUUAAAGUGUCCGUAGCCGGGUUGUCAAGUCCUUUGUGAAAUCCAGCGGCUUACCCGCUCGGCUUGCAACGGAAACUGAUGACCCUGGGAUCGGUAGGCGCUGAGGGUACUCCAGGGGUACCGGUGAAAUGGUAUUACCCCUGGGGGACCCCCAGUGGCGA